CCCUAAUCCCUGCUGCUGGCUGUGAGAUUUACGGUCUCUGCUGAGGCCAGUCAGCUGCGGGUGGCACCGGAAUCCAGCCCCUGCCUGCAUCCGCUCCUGGGAGAGAUGACGGGGAAGCAGCUCUGGAGUCCU
This 132-nucleotide long non-coding RNA is filed under the name Chinchilla lanigera (long-tailed chinchilla). RNAcentral describes it as "lncRNA (ENSCLAG00000023812.1)". Lineage: Eukaryota; Metazoa; Chordata; Mammalia; Rodentia; Chinchillidae. The record is from RNAcentral.